This 1622-nucleotide ribosomal RNA is filed under the name Cylindrotheca closterium. RNAcentral describes it as "bacterial LSU rRNA". It matches the Rfam family "Bacterial large subunit ribosomal RNA", at positions 873 to 2484 of the family's 2925-position model. The record is from RNAcentral. Lineage: Eukaryota; Bacillariophyta; Bacillariophyceae; Bacillariales; Bacillariaceae.
GGUAGAGCCUCGGACGAACACCAUUGGGGGUAGAGCACUGUUAAGGCUAGGGGGUCAUCCCGACUUACCAACCCUUUGCAAACUCCGAAUACCGAUGAGUGCUAUCCGGGAGACACACGGCGGGUGCUAACGUCCGUCGUGAAGAGGGAAACAACCCAGACCGCCAGCUAAGGUCCCAAAAUAUUGCUAAGUGGGAAACGAAGUGGGAAGGCUAAGACAGCUAGGAGGUUGGCUUAGAAGCAGCCAUCCUUUAAAGAAAGCGUAAUAGCUCACUAGUCGAGUCGGCCUGCGCGGAAGAUGUAACGGGGCUAAGCAAUAUACCGAAGCUGCGGAUUCACACUUAUGUGUGAGUGGUAGGGGAGCGUUGUGUAAGUGGUUGAAGGUGAACUGAGAGGUUUGCUGGACAUAUCACAAGUGCGAAUGCUGACAUGAGUAACGAUAAUGGGGGUGAAAAACCCCCACGCCGGAAGACCAAGGUUUCCUGUCCCAUGCUAAUCAGGGCAGGGUAAGUCGGCCCCUAAGGCGAGGCAGAAAUGCGUAGUCGAUGGGAAACGGAUUAAUAUUUCCGUACUUGUUAUAUCAGUGAAGGGGGACGGAGAAGGUUAUGCUAGCUUGGCGUUGGUUGUCCAAGUGAAAGUGCGUAGGGUUGAAUUUUAGGUAAAUCCGGGAUUCUACAUGCCUGAGACACGAGACGAGUCACUACGGUGACGAAGUAGCAAAUACCCUGCUUCCAGGAAAAGCCUCUAAACUUAUGAUAUAGCGAACCGUACCCCAAACCGACACAGGUGGUCAGGUAGAGAAUACUAAGGCGCUUGAGAGAACUCGGGUGAAGGAACUCGGCAAAAUUGUACCGUAACUUCGGGAGAAGGUACGCCCUUGUUUGUGAUAGCACUUGCUGCUUAAGCGAAUGAGGGCCGCAGUGACCAGGUGGCUGGGACUGUUUAUUAAAAACACAGCACUGUGCUAAAUCGAAAGAUGACGUAUACGGUGUGACACCUGCCCGGUGCCGGAAGGUUAAUUGAUGGGGUUAGCGUAAGCGAAGCUCUUGAUCGAAGCCCCGGUAAACGGCGGCCGUAACGAUAACGGUCCUAAGGUAGCGAAAUUCCUUGUCGGGUAAGUUCCGACCUGCACGAAUGGUGUAACCAUGGCCACGCUGUCUCCACCCGAGACUCAGUGAAAUUGAAAUUGCAGUGAAGAUGCUGUGUACCCGCACCUAGACGGAAAGACCCCGUGAACCUUUACUACAGCUUGGCACUGAACAUUGACCCUACAUGUGUAGGAUAGGUGGGAGGCUAUGAAGCAUUGUCGCCAGAUGAUGUGGAGCUGCCCUUGAAAUACCACCCUUGUAUGUUUGAUGUUCUAACAUUGGUCCCUGAUCGGGAUUGUGGACAGUGUCUGGUGGGUAGUUUGACUGGGGCGGUCUCCUCCCAAAGCGUAACGGAGGAGCACGAAGGUUGGCUAAUCCUGGUCGGACAUCAGGAGGUUAGUGCAAUGGCAUAAGCCAGCUUAACUGCGAGACAGACACGUCGAGCAGGUACGAAAGUAGGUCAUAGUGAUCCGGUGGUUCUGUAUGGAAGGGCCAUCGCUCAACGGAUAAAAGGUACUCCGGGGAUAACAGGCUG